GUAGUGUGCCAGAUGGUCGCUUGUACUUCGGUUACAUAACUGAGUAGUGCAAGAGGAAAGUCCGGGCAGCACAGAACAAGACAGUUGCUAACGGCAACCAGAGGUAACUCUAGGGAAAGUGCCACAGAAACGAUACCGCCUACAGCAUAGCUGUAUGGUAAGGGUGAAAGGAGUGGGCCUAGUAGACUAGGAUAUCCUACGACAUAUGUCAUAGGGAAAGUAAGAGCCCACAGCGACACAUGGUGACAUGUGAAGGAGGUAAACCCUGUCUGCUGCAAGGAGGUAUGCUUAUUUUCGUUGUUCGCGACAAGUAUGCCGUAUAGCCGCUUGACUUAUGGGGUGAUCCAUAAGCUAGAUAGAUGACCGUCCACGACAGAACCCGGCUUAUCGGCACACUAUAUAA
RNAcentral lists this RNase P RNA (403 nucleotides) under Candidatus Saccharimonadota bacterium. RNAcentral's name for it is "RNase P RNA component class A". It matches the Rfam family "Bacterial RNase P class A". Rfam says of the family: Ribonuclease P (RNase P) is a ubiquitous endoribonuclease, found in archaea, bacteria and eukarya as well as chloroplasts and mitochondria. Lineage: Bacteria; Candidatus Saccharimonadota. The record is from RNAcentral.